This 460-nucleotide long non-coding RNA is filed under the name Homo sapiens (human). Its description in RNAcentral is "proteasome activator subunit 2 (ENSG00000284889.2)". The record is from RNAcentral. Lineage: Eukaryota; Metazoa; Chordata; Mammalia; Primates; Hominidae.
AGGUCACUCAGACCACGGUCACUCUCCAGCCCCCGGCCCAGCGCCAGGCUGGACCAGUCCGGUACGCUCCGGGCCUCACCGAGGAAGUCCCACCCUGCAGGGGAACCGACUCUGGCCGGCCCUAACCCCUCUCGAGCGAGUCCCGCCCCAUCUCCGGUCUGUCCUGAAGGCAGAGGGAAGACCCUCACCCAACCCCUGCCCGCUCUCUUCUAAGAGCUGCUAGUCCUUCUCCACCCCAGGCGCUCCCUCUGGCUGCCCCUCCCACUCGCUCUGAUCUCUCUCCGUCCGCUACUUGCGGUCGAGCCUUCUUGGGGGAGCCCCGCCACUGAAUACCCCCUUUGCCAUACUCCCACCUCUCUUACCCCAACCCUGGACUUCCAGUUGGCCCUAGCUAUAAGCCCCGCCCCUCUCCGAGGGACAGCCCCCGCUCCAGUCUCCGCGGUCCCACUUACCCUAGCCC